UGGGGAAUAUUGCACAAUGGGCGGAAGCCUGAUGCAGCAACGCCGCGUGCGGGAUGACGGCCUUCGGGUUGUAAACCGCUUUCGCCUGUGACGAAGCGUGAGUGACGGUAAUGGGUAAAGAAGCACCGGCUAACUACGUGCCAGCAGCCGCGGUGAUACGUAGGGUGCGAGCGUUGUCCGGAUUUAUUGGGCGUAAAGGGCUCGUAGGUGGUUGAUCGCGUCGGAAGUGUAAUCUUGGGGCUUAACCCUGAGCGUGCUUUCGAUACGGGUUGACUUGAGGAAGGUAGGGGAGAAUGGAAUUCCUGGUGGAGCGGUGGAAUGCGCAGAUAUCAGGAGGAACACCAGUGGCGAAGGCGGUUCUCUGGGCCUUUCCUGACGCUGAGGAGCGAAAGCGUGGGGAUCGAACA
This 407-nucleotide ribosomal RNA is filed under the name uncultured bacterium. Its description in RNAcentral is "partial 16S ribosomal RNA". It matches the Rfam family "Bacterial small subunit ribosomal RNA", at positions 355 to 774 of the family's 1533-position model. The record is from RNAcentral.